GGAAGGCUGGCAGAGUGGUAAUGCAGCACAUUGCUAAUGUGUAAUACAGAAAUGUAUCGGAGGUUCGAGUCCUCCGUCUUCCGCAA
Molecule: transfer RNA, 86 nt
Filed under: Prevotella sp. oral taxon 376
Lineage: Bacteria; Pseudomonadati; Bacteroidota; Bacteroidia; Bacteroidales; Prevotellaceae
Description: tRNA-Ser
Rfam family: tRNA
About the family: Transfer RNA (tRNA) molecules are approximately 80 nucleotides in length. Their secondary structure includes four short double-helical elements and three loops (D, anti-codon, and T loops).
Source: RNAcentral